This 468-nucleotide ribosomal RNA is filed under the name uncultured bacterium. Its description in RNAcentral is "partial 16S ribosomal RNA". It matches the Rfam family "Bacterial small subunit ribosomal RNA", at positions 28 to 507 of the family's 1533-position model. The record is from RNAcentral.
GACGAACGCUGGCGGCGUGCUUAACACAUGCAAGUCGAACGGAAAGGCCCUGCUUUUGUGGGGUGCUCGAGUGGCGAACGGGUGAGUAACACGUGAGUAACCUGCCCUUGACUUUGGGAUAACUUCAGGAAACUGGGGCUAAUACCGGAUAGAAGCUCCUGCUGCAUGGUGGGGGUUGGAAAGUGUCGGCGGUUGGGGAUGGACUCGCGGCUUAUCAGCUUGUUGGUGGGGUAGUGGCUUACCAAGGGUUUGACGGGUAGCCGGCCUGAGAGGGUGACCGGCCACAUGGGGACUGAGAUACGCCCCAGACGCCUACGGGAGGCAGCAGUGGGGAAUAUUGUACAAUGGGCGGAAGCCUGAUGCAGCAACGCCGCGUGCGGGAUGACGGCCUUCGGGUUGUAAACCGCUGUCGCCGGUGACGAAGCGUGAGUGACGGUAAUGGGUAAAGAAGCACCGGCUAACUACGUG